RNAcentral lists this ribosomal RNA (460 nucleotides) under uncultured bacterium. RNAcentral describes it as "partial 16S ribosomal RNA". It matches the Rfam family "Bacterial small subunit ribosomal RNA", at positions 338 to 795 of the family's 1533-position model. The record is from RNAcentral.
CCUACGGGAGGCAGCAGUGAGGAAUAUUGGUCAAUGGACGAGAGUCUGAACCAGCCAAGUAGCGUGAAGGAUGACUGCCCUAUGGGUUGUAAACCUCUUUUAUAAAGGAAUAAAACGAGGCACGUGUGCCUUUUUGCAUGUACUUUAUGAAUCAGGAUUCGCUAACUCCGUGCCAGCAGCCGCGGUAAUACGGCGGAUCCGAGCCUUAUCCGGAUUUAUUGGGUUUAAAGGGAGCGUAGAUGGGUUGUUAAGUCAGUUGGGAACGUUUGCGGCUCAACCGUAAAAUUGCAAUCGAUACUGGCAGUCUUGAGUACAGUUGAGGUAGGCGGAAUUCGUGGUGUAGCGGUGAAAUGCUUAGAUAUCACGAAGAACCCCGAUUGCGAAGGCAGCUUACUAAGCUGUGACUGACAUUGAUGCUCGAAAGUGUGGGUAUCAAACAGGAUUAGAUACCCGGGUAGUC